This 250-nucleotide unclassified non-coding RNA is filed under the name plant metagenome. RNAcentral describes it as "partial contains small subunit ribosomal RNA, internal transcribed spacer 1, and 5.8S ribosomal RNA". The record is from RNAcentral.
GUAGGUGAACCUGCGGAAGGAUCAUUAGAAAAAUUCAGUUAACUGGGCAAAGAAGCGGCUGGGAGGGGGAAUCGUGGAGAAAAUAGCUGAGAAAAUAGCUCUCCCAUCAAAAGAUGUCCCCGGGGGGGGUUGGAUAAAGGUGGAUGGCGAGAGGGGAACCUCGUCGACCCUUCCACAUAAAACCUGUUUUUGUUCGCCCCCCUUACAAAUAUCUCUUUACAGCACGCCGGCAUGCUCCGUCCUAUUUUCU